GGGCCGGUAGGUUGGUCGUGCCACCGGUACGUACUGGUCUCACUGAUUCCUCCUUCCUGAAGAACCGUAAUGCCAUUAAUUUGGUGUUGCGGGGAAACAGGACUGUUACUUUGAAAAAAUUAGAGUGUUUAAAGCAAGCUAACGCUUGAAUACAUUAGCAUGGAAUAAUGAAAUAGGACGAUCGAUCCUAUUUUGUUGGUUUCUAGGAUUGACGUA
This 216-nucleotide ribosomal RNA is filed under the name Glomeromycotina sp. RNAcentral's name for it is "partial small subunit ribosomal RNA". The stretch from base 40 to 216 matches the Rfam family "Eukaryotic small subunit ribosomal RNA", at positions 686 to 864 of the family's 1831-position model. Lineage: Eukaryota; Fungi; Glomeromycota. The record is from RNAcentral.